CACGCAUAGCAAAUGCUCGCUUCGUUAUGAAGAGGAAAGUCCGAGCUGCAAAAGACAAGGAUUCCAUCUAACAGAUGGCUAGGGAAACCUAAGGGACAGUGCAACAGAAAGAAAACUUCCAUUUUAUGGUAAAGGUGAAACGGUAAGGUAAGAGCUUACCAGCGAUUUUGGUAACAAUUUCGGCUAUGUAAACCCAAUCCGCAGCAAGAAGGGAUGGUUUUUGUCUUUAUUGGAACCCUUCGCUUGAUUUUGUUUGCAAAAACAAAACUAGAUAAAUGAGCAUUCACGACAGAACUCGGCUUAUCGCUAUGCUAUUUU
Molecule: RNase P RNA, 318 nt
Filed under: Campylobacter jejuni
Lineage: Bacteria; Pseudomonadati; Campylobacterota; Epsilonproteobacteria; Campylobacterales; Campylobacteraceae
Also listed under: 2 other names
Description: RNase P RNA component class A
Rfam family: Bacterial RNase P class A
About the family: Ribonuclease P (RNase P) is a ubiquitous endoribonuclease, found in archaea, bacteria and eukarya as well as chloroplasts and mitochondria. Its best characterised activity is the generation of mature 5'-ends of tRNAs by cleaving the 5'-leader elements of precursor-tRNAs.
Source: RNAcentral